Long non-coding RNA from Poecile atricapillus (Black-capped chickadee), 393 nucleotides. RefSeq lists it as uncharacterized. The transcript is spliced from 3 exons. The record is from RefSeq and is a predicted model, not a curated record. Lineage: Eukaryota; Metazoa; Chordata; Aves; Passeriformes; Paridae.
CAACAUUCCUAAACAGAAAAGCCUUUCACAGAUUACAGACGUGCAUGGUGAGAUGGAAAAAACUUAAGAUACCAGAGCCUUUUUCUUUUCUGACUUACGCUUUUACAUUUAAAUGAAAACUGUGCAUAGAGAUUCCAGGAAAGAGUAAGAGCUCUCGAAUUCUCUUCAGGCAGCUCCAGGAUCGCUUAUGACCCACAGGUUUUCUUCUCAAAACUAACGUGACAUCUUAAAUAUACGACACCUGCAACGUGCAAACGCAAAUAACAACCAGGGAGCACGAAAGCAAAUAAAUAAAGCACAGCUCCAGAAGGAAAGAUACAGAGUUGUUAUUUACUGGGCUGUGUUUCCUUUAGAAGACUUGGUACAAAUGAGUAAGCCUUAUGAGGCAGAAAG